Molecule: non-coding RNA, 43 nt
Filed under: Trypanosoma brucei brucei
Lineage: Eukaryota; Euglenozoa; Kinetoplastea; Trypanosomatida; Trypanosomatidae
Source: RNAcentral
AUAACAAUACAAAUGAGCUAGAUAAUGGAUGAUAGUUUGAUAU